AGGACUAUAGUUAAAAAUAAUAUUUAAAUUGCACUUAAAAGGUAUUGGUUUCACCAAUUAGUCUUA
Molecule: transfer RNA, 66 nt
Filed under: Paromalus flavicornis
Lineage: Eukaryota; Metazoa; Arthropoda; Insecta; Coleoptera; Histeridae
Description: tRNA-Ala
Rfam family: tRNA
About the family: Transfer RNA (tRNA) molecules are approximately 80 nucleotides in length. Their secondary structure includes four short double-helical elements and three loops (D, anti-codon, and T loops).
Source: RNAcentral